GCUUAGCCCUAAACCUAAAUAAUUCAACAACAAAAAUAUUUGCCAGAGAACUACUAGCCACCGCUUAAAACUCAAAGGACUUGGCGGUACUUUAUAUCCACCUAGAGGAGCCUGUUCUAUAAUCGAUAAACCCCGCUAUACCUCACCAUCUCUUGCUAAUUCAGCCUAUAUACCGCCAUCUUCAGCAAACCCUAAAAAGGUAGAAAAGUAAGCACAAGAACAAUCAUAAAAACGUUAGGUCAAGGUGUAGCCAAUGAGAUGGGAAGAAAUGGGCUACAUUUUCUUCUUUCAAGAACACUACGAAAUCCUUUAUGAAACUAAAGGACAAAGGCGGAUUUAGUAGUAAAUUAAGAAUAGAGAGCUUAAUUG
RNAcentral lists this ribosomal RNA (369 nucleotides) under Desmomys harringtoni (Harrington's rat). RNAcentral's name for it is "partial 12S ribosomal RNA". The record is from RNAcentral. Lineage: Eukaryota; Metazoa; Chordata; Mammalia; Rodentia; Muridae.